RNAcentral lists this ribosomal RNA (406 nucleotides) under uncultured bacterium. RNAcentral describes it as "partial 16S ribosomal RNA". It matches the Rfam family "Bacterial small subunit ribosomal RNA", at positions 30 to 526 of the family's 1533-position model. The record is from RNAcentral.
AUUGAACGCUGGCGGCAGGCCUAACACAUGCAAGUCGAGCGAGUGGCGGGGGGGUGGAUAGUUUCUGGGAAAGUGCGUGAUGUAGGGGGAUAACGACUGAAAACGGUAGCUAAUACCGCAUCCCCUCAGGUGUGCCCAGGUGGGAUUAGCUUGCUGGGGGGGUAAUGGCUCCCCAAGGCUACGCUCCCUAGCUGGUCUGAGAGGAUGACCGUCCACACUGGAACUGAGACACGGUCCAGACUCCUACGGGCGGCAGCAGUGGGGAAUAUUGCACAAUGUGCGCAAGCCUGAUGCAGCCAUGCCGCGUGUGUGAAGAAGGCCUUCGGGUUGUAAAGUACUUUCAGCGGGGAGGCGUUACCCGCAGAAGAAGCACCGGCUAACUCCGUGCCAGCAGCCGCGGUAAUUC